AGAGUGAACGCUGGCGGCAGGCCUAACACAUGCAAGUCGAACGGCAGCACGGCAGUAGCAAUACUGUGGGUGGCGAGUGGCGGACGGGUGAGGAAUACAUCGGAAUCUACCUUGUCGUGGGGGAUAACCUCGGGAAACCGGGACUAAUACCGCAUACGACUAUGGUUGAAAGCGGCGGACCGCAAGGCGUCGCGCGAUU
RNAcentral lists this ribosomal RNA (199 nucleotides) under uncultured soil bacterium. RNAcentral's name for it is "partial 16S ribosomal RNA". It matches the Rfam family "Bacterial small subunit ribosomal RNA", at positions 26 to 222 of the family's 1533-position model. The record is from RNAcentral.